RNAcentral lists this ribosomal RNA (422 nucleotides) under uncultured bacterium. RNAcentral's name for it is "bacterial SSU rRNA". It matches the Rfam family "Bacterial small subunit ribosomal RNA", at positions 29 to 441 of the family's 1533-position model. The record is from RNAcentral.
AACGAACGCUGGCGGCGCGCCUAAUACAUGCAAGUCGAGCGAGAAGACGUAGCAAUACGUUUGUAAAGCGGCGAACGGGUGAGGAAUACAUGGGUAACCUACCCUCGAGUGGGGAAUAACUAGCCGAAAGGUUAGCUAAUACCGCGUACGCUCCUUGGACUUCGGUUCAGGGAGGAAAGCGAUACCGUGGGUAUCGCGCUCUUGGAUGGGCUCAUGUCCUAUCAGCUUGUUGGUGAGGUAACGGCUCACCAAGGCUUCGACGGGUAGCUGGUCUGAGAGGACAAUCAGCCACACUGGCACUGCGACACGGGCCAGACUCCUACGGGAGGCAGCAGUAAGGAAUAUUGCGCAAUGGGCGAAAGCCUGACGCAGCGACGCCGCGUGGGGGAUGAAGGUCUUCGGAUUGUAAACCCCUUUCGGGA